RNAcentral lists this long non-coding RNA (330 nucleotides) under Mytilus galloprovincialis (Mediterranean mussel). The record is from RNAcentral. Lineage: Eukaryota; Metazoa; Mollusca; Bivalvia; Mytilida; Mytilidae.
CCUUGCACGAUAUGUUGACUAAUCGGAAUAUUAAUUUGCCUUAUGUUUUAUGUUCGAUUAUUAAGUUCAUUUGAUUAUAUCUGCAGUGAAAAUUCCAUUGAAUAAAUUUCAAUUUAUACAAAACCGCAGUGCAGGUUUCAUCUCGUGUCAAACUUGAGGUAUCAAAUUGCAUACACUUGUUGCAAAAAGAUCCAGUUCGUCUUUCCUUACAACCAUUGGUACAGAUUGCAGUGUUCUCAUCGCAAACAUCAUUCAUACAGUUUAUAGGGUUACAUCCCAAGAGGCACGAACCAUUUCCUGGAUAGCAACGUUGCUCUAUACAACUUUCUG